This 696-nucleotide ribosomal RNA is filed under the name Triticum aestivum (bread wheat). Its description in RNAcentral is "partial small subunit ribosomal RNA". The record is from RNAcentral. Lineage: Eukaryota; Viridiplantae; Streptophyta; Magnoliopsida; Poales; Poaceae.
AUGAGAGCCGGAGGCAAACCCGGACCAACAAGGACGCAGACCUCUCCUCCGGCUUACCUGAAGCAUCAAGGAAGCGUCGGACCGAGGAAACUUCACCUUUCUCCGGUGACUCCAUGCAAUCUAACUUGCCGGCUUUCAAGACCGCACCCGGGUAAUGAUGACCAGCUUAUUUUGUGCUUAUCUUACUCAUGUUUUUGCACUAACCUUUUGACUUUCAGUGCACAAGCAAAGCCCAGCAAGAGGGCAAAGAAAAGUAAACCGGUCGAAGAGCCGGUCUUGACUGAACCCAACGCCUCUGCCUCUGAGCCGCCGUCUGCACCAGCUCCAGAAACCACCACCGCCCCAUCUGACGAGCAAGUUAUGGAGGGUUCUGAUAACCCGGAGAUCCCCAGCCCGGCUCACCCGGAUGUGGUAAUUACCCGGACCGAAUUUGUUGAACCGGGAAGACCCACCGUGCUGGCUAAGUGCUCUGCUAAGGAGGAACUUCUGGAACGACGCAGAGCCAGGCUGGACAUUACUAACUAUGCCAAUCUGAGCAUUGGAGAUAUUGUCGCUGGUUAUAUUGGUCAAGUGCACAACAGCCGGGACCUGGAAAUUGACAUGGUGAAGCAGAUACAGCAAAAAUCUGAGGUAGAACUCUCUUGCUUACUCCAUAGUCAUCCUUACCAUGCUAGCCCCCAAGUCUAUUACUUAUGA